Molecule: long non-coding RNA, 1218 nt
Organism: Phyllostomus hastatus (greater spear-nosed bat)
Lineage: Eukaryota; Metazoa; Chordata; Mammalia; Chiroptera; Phyllostomidae
Exons: 3
Source: RefSeq, a predicted model, not a curated record
GGCGCUCCCCCACCCCCCUUCCCUUCCUCAUCCUGCUGCCUGCGCCUCCCCCUAACCGCCGCGCUGCGCACGGAUGGCGGCGGAGCCGCAGAGCUUCGAGGGUGCCAAAGGUGACAGCCCUCCCCACAGCUGGAGUGUCAGCGACACACGACGCACACCCGGAGCUCCAAGCCAGCCCGUGAUUAUGCUCUGAGCACCAGGGAGAGCAGAGAAGUGGAAUCAUACGGUAUCCCCUGUACUGCCGCAUCGCCAGUGCCGGACCGGCGGCCUGGGCGUCACCUGCACAGAAGUGCAGCAUCUCAGGCCCCUCCCAUGGCCUGCAGGACCACGCUUGAAUUUAAUAAGAACCUCGUGCCCAGAAGAUUCCUGUGUGCAUCAAAGUCAGCAGAGAAGCCCUGGUAUAUCUUACUACGUGCAACUUUUUAGUACUAGUAUGUCUCAGGUGUCUCUCAGUGUAAGAACCGAUAGAACGGUCAAGUUCCUUGUUCUCGGCUGCGUAGUUCCCCACGGUCUGCAGUGCCCUGUUCCUUGUUCCCUCGUCUGCUCAGAAUGGUUGGGUUGAACUUGAAGAAUGGACGAAUGAAAUGCCACUGUGGGCUUUAGAGUAGGUUGAUUCCAGCAUAAGCAAAGGUCUGGAAUCAGAAAGAAAGUGACCCUGAAAUCUACCCUGGGAAAUUUUGGUGAGGGCCAAAGGAUUGCAGAUGGUUCUCUCCAGGCACUGAGGAGCCGGGGGCCCGAGGGCCAAUGAAUUAGCUGAGAAUCUUAAAAAUGGCGUUGACUGCCUACUUUGGGCGCCCGAGAGGGAGCAUUCUCUCUGGAGCUGCUGCUGCACCAUGAGCCACCAACUGUGCUGGGCAGAUUAACAACAGGAAAUUCGCUGGGCAUCUCCUCCCUGCCAGGUGACUGUGCUGAGAGAUUCUGCCCACAGGAGGGAGAAGCUGUGAAUUCGCUUCUUUUGGUAGAUGAGGAAACUGAGGCACAACGAGGCUAACGAGGAAGAGUCUACAGUCACAAAGCCAGGAAGCGAUGCGGUGAAGAUGUGAACGGAGUGGGGAAGAGUCCGGCUUCCACCUUUCUGUCCUGCAUGACACCAGCAUCUUGUAACCUGUGUGUAUUUAAUGCAAGUAAAACACCAGCCCGCGCUGGCUGGUGUAGCUCAGUGGAUCGAGCACGGGCUGCGAAGCAAAGGGUCGCUGGUUUGAUUCCCAGUCAGGGCAC